Molecule: long non-coding RNA, 556 nt
Filed under: Phoenix dactylifera (date palm)
Lineage: Eukaryota; Viridiplantae; Streptophyta; Magnoliopsida; Arecales; Arecaceae
Description: long non-coding RNA (PDAC_LNC012843)
Source: RNAcentral
UUAUAAGAACCUUCAAAGCUUUGAAUUUUAUGUAUGCUCUAAGAUAUAUCAUAAAUUGCAUGAAUUCAUGUUUUUGGCAUUUAUGCCACAAUAUUUUUACACCAUAAAAGAACUUUGCAAUCAUACUUAAUAUACUGCUCUUAUACUCUGAAAAUUAGUUAAAUUGCUCUCAUGUUGCUAAAAUGCUUAAUAUAUUGGGCAAAAGAUCUUAAAUGAACAAGCUUUCAUACUUAUUAUUGAAGAGAGGUUAGAUUUCCAUUCGUGCUUUCCUUGAAUAUCAUUUGUGGUACUUCUUGAAUUAACUUAAGAAAGAUUCCAUCUACACUUGAGUUGAAAACUAUCCUUGGAAUCACAUUCGAUGUGCUCUCAUCAUAAUUUGCUCUAAAAUUAUCCUAAAUGGCUCUGAUCUAUGCUCAUUUAUCUUUUUCUAACAUUAUUGCCUUGAGCAUUCUUAUCUUUGUACUUAAUGUUUCACUAUCUUUUUGAUGUUGUCAAAAAGGGGGAGAAAUAUCUGAGUAUAUGCUCAUAAUGCUUUAUGUGUUGAUUAUGUUAAGAU